CGCUAGCUACAGGCUUAACACAUGCAAGUCGAGGGGUAGCAGGGUAGCAAUACCGCUGACGACCGGCGCACGGGUGAGUAACACGUAUCCAACCUUCCCAUCACUCGGGGAUAGCCUUUCGAAAGAAAGAUUAAUACCCGAUAGUACUUUUUUGAGGCAUCUUAAGAAAGUUAAAGAUUAAUUGGUGAUGGAUGGGGAUGCGUUCCAUUAGAUUGUUGGUGAGGUAACGGCUCACCAAGUCUUCGAUGGAUAGGGGUUCUGAGAGGAAGGUCCCCCACAUUGGUACUGAGACACGGACCAAACUCCUACGGGAGGCAGCAGUGAGGAAUAUUGGUCAAUGGGCGAGAGCCUGAACCAGCCAAGUAGCGUGAAGGAUGACGG
Molecule: ribosomal RNA, 381 nt
Filed under: uncultured Bacteroidales bacterium
Lineage: Bacteria; Pseudomonadati; Bacteroidota; Bacteroidia; Bacteroidales
Description: bacterial SSU rRNA
Rfam family: Bacterial small subunit ribosomal RNA
Source: RNAcentral